AUGCUUGGUUGUCGACCUGUAGCUACACCUAUUGAACAAAAUCAUAGGUUAAGUAGUGAUGCAGGGACACCGGUUGAUCGGGAACGCUACCAAAGGCUUGUUGGAAGGUUGAUAUAUCUGUCCCAUACCCGUCCAGAUAUUGCCUUUGCUGUGAGUGUAGUUAGCCAAUAUAUGAAUGACCCAAAGUCAGCUCAUAUGGAAGCUGUGAUUAGGAUACUGCGAUAUCUUAAGGGGUGCCCAGGAAAAGGCCUCUUAUAUACGAGACAAGGGGACCUGCAAGUUGAAUGCUAUACUGAUGCCGAUUGGGCAGGUUCUCUUGAUGAUCGGCGCUCAACGUCAGGUUACUGCACAUUUGUUGGAGGGAACCUAGUUUCAUGGCGAAGCAAAAAACAAAGUGUAGUGGCUUGA
RNAcentral lists this ribosomal RNA (408 nucleotides) under Triticum aestivum (bread wheat). RNAcentral describes it as "partial small subunit ribosomal RNA". The record is from RNAcentral. Lineage: Eukaryota; Viridiplantae; Streptophyta; Magnoliopsida; Poales; Poaceae.